AGUGAACGCUGGCGGUAGGCCUAACACAUGCAAGUCGAACGGCAGCACAGUAAGAGCUUGCUCUUACGGGUGGCGAGUGGCGGACGGGUGAGGAAUACAUCGGAAUCUACUUUUUCGUGGGGGAUAACGUAGGGAAACUUACGCUAAUACCGCAUACGACCUACGGGUGAAAGCAGGGGAUCUUCGGACCUUGCGCGAUUGAAUGAGCCGAUGUCGGAUUAGCUAGCUGGCGGGGUAAAGGCCCACCAAGGCGACGAUCCGUAGCUGGUCUGAGAGGAUGAUCAGCCACACUGGAACUGAGACACGGUCCAGACUCCUACGGGAGGCAGCAGUGGGGAAUAUUGGGCAAUGGGCGCAAGCCUGAUCCAGCCAUACCGCGUGGGUGAAGAAGGCCUUCGGGUUGUAAAGCCCUUUUGUUGGGAAAGAAAAGCAGCAGGUUAAUACCCCGCUGUUCCGACGGUACCCAAAGAAUAAGCACCGGCUAACUUCGUG
RNAcentral lists this ribosomal RNA (492 nucleotides) under uncultured bacterium. RNAcentral's name for it is "partial 16S ribosomal RNA". It matches the Rfam family "Bacterial small subunit ribosomal RNA", at positions 29 to 507 of the family's 1533-position model. The record is from RNAcentral.